CCUGGCGGCCUUAGCGCGGUGGUCCCACCUGACCCCAUGCCGAACUCAGAAGUGAAACGCCGUAGCGCCGAUGGUAGUAUGGGGUUUCCCCAUGCGAGAGUAGGGAACUGCCAGGC
Molecule: ribosomal RNA, 116 nt
Filed under: Escherichia coli
Lineage: Bacteria; Pseudomonadati; Pseudomonadota; Gammaproteobacteria; Enterobacterales; Enterobacteriaceae
Source: RNAcentral